CCUACGGGAGGCAGCAGUAGGGAAUCUUCCACAAUGGGCGAAAGCCUGAUGGAGCAACGCCGCGUGGGUGAAGAAGGUCUUCGGAUCGUAAAACCCUGUUGUUAGAGAAGAAAGUGCGUGAGAGUAACUGUUCACGUUUCGACGGUAUCUAACCAGAAAGCCACGGCUAACUACGUGCCAGCAGCCGCGGUAAUACGUAGGUGGCAAGCGUUAUCCGGAUUGAUUGGGCGUAAAGGGAACGCAGGCGGUCCUUUAAGUCUGAUGUGAAAGCCUUCGGCUUAACCGGAGUAGUGCAUUGGAAACUGGGAGACUUGAGUGCAGAAGAGGAGAGUGGAACUCCAUGUGUAGCGGUGAAAUGCGUAGAUAUAUGGAAGAACACCAGUGGCGAAAGCGGCUCUCUGGUCUGUAACUGACGCUGAGGUUCGAAAGCGUGGGUAGCAAACAGGAUUAGAUACCCCUGUAGUC
RNAcentral lists this ribosomal RNA (465 nucleotides) under uncultured bacterium. RNAcentral's name for it is "partial 16S ribosomal RNA". It matches the Rfam family "Bacterial small subunit ribosomal RNA", at positions 338 to 795 of the family's 1533-position model. The record is from RNAcentral.